GUCCCUGUAGCGCAAUGGGUAGCGCGUUGGAUUUCUAAUCCAAUGUCGUGGGUCUUAAUCCCACCUGAGAUG
This 72-nucleotide transfer RNA is filed under the name Trichonephila inaurata madagascariensis. It matches the Rfam family "tRNA". Rfam says of the family: Transfer RNA (tRNA) molecules are approximately 80 nucleotides in length. The record is from Rfam by way of RNAcentral. Lineage: Eukaryota; Metazoa; Arthropoda; Arachnida; Araneae; Nephilidae.